GAGUUUGAUCGUGGCUCAGAUUGAACGCUGGCGGCAUGCCUUACACAUGCAAGUCGAACGGCAGCAUGAUCUAGCUUGCUAGAUUGAUGGCGAGUGGCGAACGGGUGAGUAAUACAUCGGAACGUGGCCCUGUAGUGGGGGAUAACUAGUCGAAAGAUUAGCUAAUACCGCAUACGACCUGAGGGUGAAAGUGGGGGACCGCAAGGCCUCAUGCUAUAGGAGCGGCCGAUGUCUGAUUAGCUAGUUGGUGGGGUAAAGGCCCACCAAGGCGACGACCAGUAGCUGGUCUGAGAGGACGAUCAGCCACACUGGGACUGAGACACGGCCCAGACUCCUACGGGAGGCAGCAGUGGGGAAUUUUGGACAAUGGGCGAAAGCCUGAUCCAGCAAUGCCGCGUGUGUGAAGAAGGCCU
This 413-nucleotide ribosomal RNA is filed under the name uncultured microorganism. RNAcentral's name for it is "bacterial SSU rRNA". It matches the Rfam family "Bacterial small subunit ribosomal RNA", at positions 9 to 417 of the family's 1533-position model. The record is from RNAcentral.